GGCAGCAUGGUGUAGUGGUUUGAAUGUUGGACUAUGACUCUGGAAACCAGGGUUUGAUUCCCAGCUUGGGCA
RNAcentral lists this transfer RNA (72 nucleotides) under Phrynosoma platyrhinos (Desert horned lizard). Its description in RNAcentral is "tRNA-OTHER". The record is from RNAcentral. Lineage: Eukaryota; Metazoa; Chordata; Lepidosauria; Squamata; Phrynosomatidae.